This 982-nucleotide long non-coding RNA is filed under the name Homo sapiens (human). Its description in RNAcentral is "HSALNT0134902". Lineage: Eukaryota; Metazoa; Chordata; Mammalia; Primates; Hominidae. The record is from RNAcentral.
CGCUUGGCCCGGAGGUGGGCGCGGCGCCCUCGGGCAACGGACGGUUGCGACCCCGGCUUCGCCCCGCAGCCCCCACUUUCUGCCGAUUUCGGCAGCCUCUCUCCCACCCAUCGCCCCCCGGACAAAAUAUGAAGUGGUUGGCGGUCAGUGAGGAGUCCCGUCGCGACUUGGACGGCCACACACGUUUUGCAGGAGUUUGCAUCCGAGAGAGAGGCAGGCAGAGCGUGGGAUUGAGAAGGCUGAGGCUGCUAGAGAUGCCAGCUAUGGAAAACCAGUCAUUUCCCACCGAAAGGCACAAGUGCGGUCUGCGGGCGCUGCACGGGUCUGCCCGAAACCUCGACCCCACGUCCACCCCGGCCGCCCGCGCCCGAGGCUUUACAGGCUCCCGAAACGGGUGCAUUUUCAUCUGCGGUGUCUGGACCCUAGAGUUGAUCCUCUUUGAUUAGUUUGUCCUUUGGAGGAGCAAUCGGACUGAUGUUUUUGAUGCUUGGAUGUGCCCUUCCAAUAUACAACAAAUACUGGCCCCUCUUUGUUCUAUUUUUUUACAUCCUUUCACCUAUUCCAUACUGCAUAGCAAGAAGAUUAGUGGAUGAUACAGAUGCUAUGAGUAACGCUUGUAAGGAACUUGCCAUCUUUCUUACAACGGGCAUUGUCGUGUCAGCUUUUGGACUCCCUAUUGUAUUUGCCAGAGCACAUCUGAUUGAGUGGGGAGCUUGUGCACUUGUUCUCACAGGAAACACAGUCAUCUUUGCAACUAUACUAGGCUUUUUCUUGGUCUUUGGAAGCAAUGACGACUUCAGCUGGCAGCAGUGGUGAAAAGAAAUUACUGAACUAUUGUCAAAUGGACUUCCUGUCAUUUGUUGGCCAUUCACGCACACAGGAGAUGGGGCAGUUAAUGCUGAAUGGUAUAGCAAGCCUCUUGGGGGUAUUUUAGGUGCUCCCUUCUCACUUUUAUUGUAAGCAUACUAUUUUCACAGAGACU